GGCCAAUUAGCUCAGUCGGUAGAGCACUCGGCUGUUAACCGAUAGGUCGUAGGUUCGAGCCCUACAUUGGCCG
Molecule: transfer RNA, 73 nt
Organism: Clostridium sp. CAG:302
Lineage: Bacteria; Bacillati; Bacillota; Clostridia; Eubacteriales; Clostridiaceae
Rfam family: tRNA
About the family: Transfer RNA (tRNA) molecules are approximately 80 nucleotides in length. Their secondary structure includes four short double-helical elements and three loops (D, anti-codon, and T loops).
Source: Rfam